CUCCAGACCUGAACCCAAUAGAAAAUCUUUGGAGGGAGCUGAAAGACCGUAUUGCCCAGUGACAGCCCCGAAACCUGAAGGAUCUGGAGAAGGUCUGUAUGGAGGAGUGGGCCAAAAUCCCUGCUGCAGUGUGUUCAAACCUGGUCAAGAACUACAGGAAACAUCGACGUGAAUGUCAUAGCUUUAAUGGCAGAUGAAGAGCUGGUUCAAUAUAUCAAUAGAUAUGGAGACCGACUUGCUGUUCGAGCAUUUUGUCGGCAAAGAACUUGGACGAACAACAGUGAGACAGUGAAGUCAGCUCUGAUGCACAGGGUUUGAGAAAAAUGAAGGAAGAACAUCCGCCAAAAGCGACACAGCUGUAUGUAGACCUGUCGGCAAUAGAUAUGCAGUGAAAGACAAACGGCGGGUCGAAAUGGGAUGGCUUAACUUUCAGAAGGGCGAGUAUCACCAGGUCCGAACAAAAGGUGGAGGUGGACAUGGCACCAGUCUGUGCAGAAAACUGUAACCGUGGGUGAGCUGCUAUAUAGGCAAAGAUUUAUUCUUCCCAGAUGGACACUCUGCCAAAGGACCUAUUGGGAAGUUCAAUUUUGACAUUCGUGAUUUCAGUCAGAAUUCGCUACCUCAUGAUUGCACCGUAGACCAGCUGUAUGAGAGGACCAAGCUGCGAAUGCUGUGCAUUUACACGUGCUCCCAUUAAUCAUUCUCUCGGAUGCAUCCUCAGACUUUGAGCCCAACGAUGAGAGGCCAGUGAAGAUAACUACAUGUAGGCAGUGUAUGCCAAGCUGUCUGACCGUCCACCCAUCCAUCUAUCCGCUAUUGUAAUGCCAACUCCCAAUGAGGUUAGAGUGUGCCAUGGUCGUACAAGCCCAUCAUUUGCUGAUCUGCUGAUUUCUGCAGAACAAAACCAGGAGACAUCAUCACAAGAGGACUGAAUCUACCAAAGAGGAUCACCCAGAGAAAUGUUCUGAUUUAGAUGAGGCACCUACUGACUCAGUGCAAGAAACUCAUGAAAGAGGCGACGAGCCAGGCAAUCAAGAUCAGCCCCUCGUGAGAUGAGUGAAAUAGAAUUCCUGCCUUCACUUGCUGAUGAUUGUUUAAUGCUUGCGUCAAAUGAACAUGCAGACCAGUGCAGUUAUGAGGUGGAAUCCCAAAUUGCCCUUGCCAUCCAUGCGUCUCUCAAAGACUUUGAAGUACAGUUUGGAGGAAUUUGUUCUGGUGAUGAUGGUUGUGAAGACUCCACUCUUCCUUGGAAUCCUUGUUACCUCAACAAUAUGCAGCAUUCUACAAUGAACGAUUGACCUGCAUCAUCAAACAGUCUUACAGCAUCACCAGAUCAGUCUGAAAAAGAAGUCCUGUAUGAGGAAUUAAGGCGAGUUAACAUAGUUCAUGAUGUCCUUAAUGUCUUCAUGGAACCAAGAGUACUGAAUGUUAAUCUGAAAAUGGAGUUUAUGAAUGAGAAAGCUGUGGACACUGAUGGUGUGUCAAGAGAGGUGUAUUCUGCCUUCUGGGAACACUUCUUGGAACAGUGUGAGAGGGAAGAAGAGAGAGUUCCCAGACUACGACCAGACUAUUCUGAGAAGGAAUGGAAAGCAGUUGGAAGAGUGGUUGAAAGGAUACUUGGACUACGGCAUCAUGCCUAUCAGACUGUUAAUAGCUUUUGUGCUUGCCUGCUGCCAAGGAGUCAGCUCAGUGGAUGAAGAACUCUUGAUGACGUCCUUUGCCAGAUUCCUGUCAGUGACUGAGAGACAAUCCAUUGAAAAAGCAAUGCAAGGCAGCAUGGAUGAGAGUGAUGAGGAGGAAUUACUCGACCUCUUUUCACGAAUGGGCGCACACUGCCUGCCCUGUAAAGAAAACCUAAGGGCUACCAUUGUAACAAUGGCACACAAAGCUUAUUAUUGACUGUUUCCAGUCCAGUAUUCACACUGCUUUGCCAACUCCCAUAACCAAAGGGUGCCUAAUGGAUCUCUAUGAAUCUAAGAGACCAACCAACAGCAAAGUGGCACAGAUGAUUAAACCGUCAAAUGAAAGCUUAAGUACACAGGAGCAGGCAGCCCUCAACCACCUACUACGAUAUGUCAGAAGCAUUGACCAAAAUAAGCUAGAAACCUUUUUGCGCUUCUGCACAGGGUCCACUGUGCUGUGCAAAGACAAAAUUGAAGUAACUUUUAAUAAACUGUGUGGUUUAAGUCGCAGGCCUGUUGCACACACUUGUAGAGCAGUACUUGAGUUACUAUGCACCUACAGCACAU
Esox lucius (northern pike) is the source of this 2249-nucleotide long non-coding RNA. NCBI's taxonomy places the organism in Eukaryota, Metazoa, Chordata, Actinopteri, Esociformes, Esocidae. The record is from Ensembl.